AUGGCGAAUUUUGGGGGAGUGCGACACGCAGUCGACUACGUGUACGAUUUCAUAGCACUUUCUUCAGACGAAGAACUACUAGACACAAUCUGGAUUAGGAGCUCGCGCCCAUUCCCUAUCGAGAUUAGCCUACGGAUCAUCCGAGACACCAUCCUAGGAGAUGGACUUGUCCAUCCGUUAUGCUUCAAUCUAGCUGUGCGUAAGAUUACUACCGACGCAGCAGAGAGGAGCGCAGGCACCAGCUCUGUUGGAAAGACACAUUUUUUUCAAUUUGGGAUUCCAUGUGCAAGCACGGGCGCUAAGGCAGACUUGGUUAAGCCAAGAACAUCGCACCAGUGCACUGAUUAA
RNAcentral lists this ribosomal RNA (348 nucleotides) under Triticum aestivum (bread wheat). RNAcentral's name for it is "partial small subunit ribosomal RNA". The record is from RNAcentral. Lineage: Eukaryota; Viridiplantae; Streptophyta; Magnoliopsida; Poales; Poaceae.